GAUACACUCCUAUGGAACAGGACUUGCUUCAGUGGGGCUUUGGUGCUCACUAAGUCUGCCCCUUGAGUGUGUCACU
Myotis brandtii (Brandt's bat) is the source of this 76-nucleotide non-coding RNA. The record is from Rfam. NCBI's taxonomy places the organism in Eukaryota, Metazoa, Chordata, Mammalia, Chiroptera, Vespertilionidae.